Molecule: ribosomal RNA, 372 nt
Filed under: uncultured bacterium
Lineage: Bacteria
Description: bacterial SSU rRNA
Rfam family: Bacterial small subunit ribosomal RNA
Source: RNAcentral
UAAUACGUAGGUGGCAAGCGUUGUCCGGAUUUAUUGGGUUUAAAGGGUGCGUAGGCGGCGCUUUAAGUCAGUGCUGAAAUACUCUAGCUUAACUAGAGGGGUGGCAUUGAUACUGAAGUGCUUGAGUGGAGUCGAGGUAGGCGGAAUUGACGGUGUAGCGGUGAAAUGCUUAGAUAUCGUCAAGAACACCGAUAGUGUAGACAGCUUACUAGGCUUCAACUGACGCUGAGGCACGAAAGUGUGGGGAUCAAACAGGAUUAGAUACCCUGGUAGUCCACACUGUAAACGUUGAUUACUCGCUGUUGGCGAUAUACAGUCAGCGGCUUAGCGCAAGCGAUAAGUAAUCCACCUGGGGAGUACGCCGGCAACGGU